UGCAUCGGCCGGGAAUCGAACCCUGGUCGCCCGCGUGGCAGGCGAGCAUUCUACCACUGAACCACUGAUGC
Molecule: transfer RNA, 71 nt
Filed under: Cordylochernes scorpioides
Lineage: Eukaryota; Metazoa; Arthropoda; Arachnida; Pseudoscorpiones; Chernetidae
Description: tRNA-Gly
Source: RNAcentral